Molecule: non-coding RNA, 142 nt
Organism: Caenorhabditis elegans
Lineage: Eukaryota; Metazoa; Nematoda; Chromadorea; Rhabditida; Rhabditidae
Source: Ensembl
CGGAAACAACAGCCGAUUUUUGAACACAUGGUCAAAUCGGUUGGAAUUGAGCGGAAGAGCGGGGAGGGGUCGUCCAUCCAAAUUAGUGGCAUCAUCGUCACUCACCGCAUUCCGCGAAUUAUUUCUCUUCGAUCAUUUCUUU